Molecule: ribosomal RNA, 427 nt
Filed under: uncultured soil bacterium
Lineage: Bacteria
Description: bacterial SSU rRNA
Rfam family: Bacterial small subunit ribosomal RNA
Source: RNAcentral
AGAACGAACGCUGGCGGCAGGCUUAACACAUGCAAGUCGAACGGUUGUAGCAAUACAGCAGUGGCAGACGGGUGAGUAACACGUGGGAACCUUCCUAGGGGUACGGAACAACUCAGGGAAACUUGAGCUAAUACCGUAUACGUCCGUGAGGAGAAAGAUUCAUCGCCCCUAGACGGGCCCGCGUAGGAUUAGGGUAGUUGGUGAGGUAACGGCUCACCAAGCCUACGAUCCUUAGCUGAUCUGAGAGGAUGAUCAGCCACACUGGGACUGAGACACGGCCCAGACUCCUACGGGAGGCAGGCAGGUGGGGAAUCUUGGACAAGUGGGCGCAAGCCUGAUCCAGCCAUGCCGCGUGAGUGAAGAAGGUCCUUCGGUGUAAGCUUCGUUUACCAGGGACGAUAAUGACGGUACUGGAGAAUAACGCCCG